UAACCUUCAAUGAGGUCCAAUUUAAAAUUUAUGGUCUAACCUGAAUGACCUGUUUGACAGACCUGGUUAUAUUUAAGAUUCACAACACCAAAUUUAAUGUUUUGAAUCACAAAACUAUUUGAAAUCCAUUUCUUAAUGAUUUCUACCAUUUAUUAUCAACAUAACAUGUAAAAAUGACUAAGUUUAUAAAACAAAAUUCAGGUAUUUUUGUAUAUAUCAUAGAGUACAAACCACAUCAAGGCAAAGGUAUAAUUGGCUCUAAUACCAAUUGUAAGUAAACUUAAACAUGAUCUUUAUAUGUAAAAACAACACAACAUGCACAUAAGAUCAAGAGUGGAAAUUUAAAAUUGAACUUCCAACUAUUGAUAUAUUUUGCAGCCUGAUAUUUGAUUCUUCUAAGCCUCUUGUAAUCUCUCUAUGAUAGUGUAUUAUAUGAAUAAAAUUACAUAGUCUUAGAGACUAAUACCAUUUUUCACCAUUUUAAUUUAUAUUUCAUCUUUCCAUCAAAGAUGAAGAGGUGUGAAGUUAUCAAAGUAGCUAUUAGAUGGAAGUUGCUUCCAUAAACCAUGGCAAAUUUUUGCUUGAGGAAAUGUUAAACCACAUGCUAGAAACAUACUUGCAAGACACUUUUUCAAUAGCCACACGUUCAACAGUAUAUUAAUUUAUAUUUUUCUUUCACCUUGCAGAGCUGGCUUACACAAUGAAGGUCAAUGAAAAAUGUGACAUGUACAGCUUUAGAGAGAUAGCACUGGAAGUAAUGCAGGAAAGCAUCCAAGAAAUUUUGUUUUAACAAUCUUCUCUUCAUCCUCCGACAAGAACAUAGCCCUUAAGGAAAUCUUGGAUCUUUGGCUUCCAAAUCGAACAUGUUGGAACAUUUUUCAAAAUAAAUAGUGUAUUAUUAUAAAAACAUGUCUAUUUAAUUACGUCUUAUAGAAGAGUUAUCUUUCAACUUAAUGAUACAUCCUUUCAUUGAGACAUUUUAUUUAAAGAUGCAUCAUUUCAUAGUGACAUUUCAUUUGAAAUUUGGACCAUUGAUUAAAAUUAAAUCUUGAUCAAAUGGCCAUGAAUGAAGAUGUAUCAUGAAAGAUAACAACCCAAAUGGAAGGGCACAAGUAUGUCUAUAAAUAUAAACCAUGUUUAGGCCGUUUAAAUAUGAAAAUAAUGAUCUCACAUCACUCUUUUCUCAACCCUCCUUUCUAAAAAGAAUUUUGGUAACACUCCACUUUUAAA
Molecule: long non-coding RNA, 1230 nt
Filed under: Citrus x clementina
Lineage: Eukaryota; Viridiplantae; Streptophyta; Magnoliopsida; Sapindales; Rutaceae
Description: Citrus clementina (C. clementina) long non-coding RNA (CCLE_LNC004306)
Source: RNAcentral